UAAUCCAGAUACUAACAAGCUUGUGAUAAGUCGGGACGUGGAGUUUGAUGAAGAAGGAGAAUGGAAUUUUGGUUCUCACGAGGACUUUAAUUCCACUAUUCCAACCGAAGAAGAAGAACAAAGAUCUACAGCAGAGGAUGCCCAGCAAGAGCUAAAUACUCCACCUACCUCGCCAACAGCAGUUCAAGAUGACUCGCCACCAUCGUUUCUAAAUGAAAGGAGCAAGGAACGCCCAAGGA
This 239-nucleotide long non-coding RNA is filed under the name Nicotiana benthamiana. RNAcentral's name for it is "long non-coding RNA (NBEN_LNC033346)". Lineage: Eukaryota; Viridiplantae; Streptophyta; Magnoliopsida; Solanales; Solanaceae. The record is from RNAcentral.